RNAcentral lists this ribosomal RNA (1626 nucleotides) under Triticum aestivum (bread wheat). Its description in RNAcentral is "partial small subunit ribosomal RNA". The record is from RNAcentral. Lineage: Eukaryota; Viridiplantae; Streptophyta; Magnoliopsida; Poales; Poaceae.
AUGCCCGCGCAGAAGCGCCCGCACCCGUCGCCCGACGCGGACGACGGGCACGUCCGGGAGGAGGAGGCUGCCGCUGCCGCCGGGGCCGCCGGCUCCGACACGGAGGGCGGCGGCGGCGUCCAGAGGGCCGCCAACGGGGGCUCCGCGGAGCUGGCCAAGGACGGUGGCGGCGGUGAGAGCUCUGCUUCCAGCGACGCGCGCCGCCGACUCAUCUGCCACCGUCACACGCGAUGCGCGCAUCGCGUCCUCUGUUUCGGCGCCGGGGUCGCUGACUGGCUUGCGUGUCUCACGGGCUCUGCAGAUUCCGAUGCGGGGGAGGACGACGAGGAGGAGGAGCAGCAGCGGAAGCAGCAGCAGCAGCAGGACGAGCACGAGGAAGGCGGCGGCAGCGGCGGGGACGACGAGGACAGCGACGACAGCCCGUCGUCGGAGAGCGACGCCGCCGACGUGGACGAGUUUAUACUAGUGAAAUUGAUGGAUAUACGGAAGGAAGUGCAGUGCCCUAUAUGCUUAGGCAUUAUCCGGAAAACAAGAACGGUUAUGGAGUGUUUGCACCGGUUUUGUAGGGACUGCAUUGAUAAAUCCAUGCGGCUUGGAAAUAAUGAAUGCCCAGCAUGCCGCACUCACUGCAAGAGCAGACGUUCCUUGAGGGAUGAUCCUAAUUUUGACGCUUUAAUUCUAGCUUUAUAUCCAGACAUUGACAAGUACGAGGAAGAGGAACUUGCUUUUGGUGAAGAAGAGAAGACUCGCAACAAAAAGAUUCAAGAUUCCAUUGCUGAAACAUUUCGAAGGCAAACAGAAGCACUUGUGAAGAAGCGCUCCAAUGCAAAAGCAAUAGCUUCUACAAGAAAGACCCGUGGGAGUAUGCGGACAAAGAAGAGAGGACGGACUAGUUCUCCUGAUAAUGCCCCAACUGACAUUGAUGACGACGAGAGAGAAGAAAAUGGUAAUGAUGGCAGCAAAGAGUCGUCUUCUGUUGAUGAUCGUUCACCAGAUGUCAAGAUGAAAAGAGCUCGGAGGUGGCCUGUGCCACGAUCAUCCCCUGCUAAGACUAUGGGCAGUGUUGAUAGCAGCUACGAGGAGAAUGAUGAUUUGGGAGGUGCCAGAGAUAUCUUGGCCACUUCUCCACUGCGGGGAGAGAUGCUUGCCUGGGGCAAAAAUGGCACCCGCAGCCAGACUCGACAUGGCAGUGCCGGUGGCUCCAGUGGAAGGAUGGUCAAGGGCGGGCGUGUUGCCAAGUUGGUGGAUCACCUCCGUAAUGCUGAUGAAUUUGAUACCAAGUUCAACUUGUACCUCGCUCUAACUCCGGUUGAUGGACAAAGCAUGCCUAAACUGGAAAAGUCCUAUCUCAGCUGCCAGCCAACAUUCUCUGUUAGCCACCUAUGCCAGUUCGUUGCUCUUCAGCUGUCACGGCAAGCCCAGGAGGUGGAGAUAUACUUCAGGAAGAAGGCCGGCAACGGGUCCCUUAAAACCGAAGAAAACAGCGCAGGCGACGAGGCGAAACCGGAGCGGCUCGACGGCCUGGAAAGGCUCAAGGAAGAGAAUUCGCUUUCAGAGCUGUACCCUAUGCUCGCCUCUGGUGUUGGAGACCUGGAGCUGCUGUACUCCGUGAAAGCGCAAGCCUAG